This 299-nucleotide signal recognition particle RNA is filed under the name Saimiri boliviensis boliviensis (Bolivian squirrel monkey). RNAcentral's name for it is "Metazoan signal recognition particle RNA (ENSSBOG00000002068.1)". It matches the Rfam family "Metazoan signal recognition particle RNA". From Rfam's summary of the family: The signal recognition particle (SRP) is a universally conserved ribonucleoprotein. It is involved in the co-translational targeting of proteins to membranes. The record is from RNAcentral. Lineage: Eukaryota; Metazoa; Chordata; Mammalia; Primates; Cebidae.
GUGGGGCGUGGUGGCGUGUGCCUGUAGUCUCAGCUACUCGGGAGGCUGGGAUGGGAGGAUCACUUGAACCCAGGAGUUCUGGGCUGUAGUGCGCUAUGCUGAUCGGGUGUCCGCACUAAGUUGAGCAUCAAUAUGGUGACCUCCCAGGAGCGGGGGACCACCAGGUUGCCUAAGGACAGGUGAACCGGCCCAGGUCGGAAAUGGAGCAGAUCAAAACUCCCGUGCUGAUCAGUAGUGGGAUCGUGCCUGUGAAUAGCCACUGCACUCCAGCCUGGGCAACAUAGCGAAACCCCGUCUCU